GGAUAACCUGCCCUUGGGUCCGGCAUAACCCCGGGAAACUGGGGAUAAUUCCGGAUAACGCACAUAUGCUGGAAUGCUUUAUGCGUAAAAUGGAUUCGUCUGCCCAAGGAUGGGUCUGCGGCCUAUCAGGUAGUAGUGGGUGUAAUGUACCUACUAGCCUACAACGGGUACGGGUUGUGAGAGCAAGAGCCCGGAGAUGGAUUCUGAGACAUGAAUCCAGGCCCUACGGGGCGCAGCAGGCGCGAGAACUUUACAAUGCGGGAAACCGUGAUAAGGGGACACCGAGUGCCAGCAUCAUAUGCUGGCUGUCCAGAUGUGUAAAAUACAUCUGUUAGCAAGGGCCGGGCAAGACCGGUGCCAGCCGCCGCGGUAACACCGGCGGCCCGAGUGGUGAUCGUGAUUAUUGGGUCUAAAGGGUCCGUAGCCGGUUUGGUCAGUCCUCCGGGAAAUCUGAUGGCUCAACCAUUAGGCUUUCGGGGGAUACUGCCAGGCUUGGAACCGGGAGAGGUAAGAGGUACUACAGGGGUAGGAGUGAAAUCUUGUAAUCCCUGUGGGACCACCUGUGGCGAAGGCGUCUUACCAGAACGGGUUCGACGGUGAGGGACGAAAGCUGGGGGCACGAACCGGAUUAGAUACCCGGGUAGUCCCAGCCGUAAACGAUGCUCGCUAGGUGUCAGGCAUGGCGCGACCGUGUCUGGUGCCGCAGGGAAGCCGUGAAGCGAGCCACCUGGGAAGUACGGCCGCAAGGCUGAAACUUAA
RNAcentral lists this ribosomal RNA (759 nucleotides) under uncultured archaeon. RNAcentral describes it as "bacterial SSU rRNA". It matches the Rfam family "Archaeal small subunit ribosomal RNA", at positions 102 to 859 of the family's 1478-position model. The record is from RNAcentral.